Molecule: long non-coding RNA, 1458 nt
Organism: Daphnia carinata
Lineage: Eukaryota; Metazoa; Arthropoda; Branchiopoda; Diplostraca; Daphniidae
Exons: 3
Source: RefSeq, a predicted model, not a curated record
AACUUGUGCAUCGUAACGAUUUUGAAUUGGGUAAGUUGCAAGUCGGUAGAUUUGCUCUGCAGUUUCCCGGAUACCAGCACCCUGCUUCGCGAGAACUACUCUACGUUGUUCUGGGGGGCUUAGACGAACAUCUGAAUCCGAUUUUGAAGAAGUCUUGCAUCGAUGGACACUGACAAAAUAUAGGAAGCUGCACAUGAAUGUUGGGUAUUUUAUCAUAAGUAGAAUACAGAUAGAUUCUGUAGUAGUAGAUCUCUUUAGUUGGGUAUUGAAAUUGGCUUUGGUUUGUAUGGGGUCUGAUGAGGUCUCAGUUGCAUUUGAUCCUACUUGUUAUUUAUCACUGCCAAUGCCAGUCGAAAAGGAAGUACCAGUUGACCUGUAUCUGGCUAACGUGGACCUUUUAGCAGAAAUUUUUCUGCUUUCAAGGGAUUCAAAGAGUUUGUAGAAUAUUAUGUCUCUAGGAUUCCACAGUUUUAGGUAAUUCAAUUGACAAGAAAUUUACACUGAUUCUUGUUUUAUUUUUCUAAAGGCAGAUUCUUAAUUAUAAAGGAUUGGGAAAGAAAAUUGACGGAGGCUCAGUGCCAAAAAAAUUAUGGUAGUUGGAAUGAUUACCGAAGCUCUUCGGAUUCGUUUAUUUCACUCGUUAUGGUAUUUAAAGAAAAUAAACGUGUACCUGUGCCCCUUUGUAUCUGUGACCCGAUUUCCUCUUCACUUGCGAUAAUUCUGCAGCGGGUCAUGCAGAUACUGUGAUCAGCAGAAAAAGUUGGAAGUGCGCUGCCCGGAAAGCAAAUCUGGGGUAAAAGAAAAAAACUUAUUCCAACUAGUAAGCCAUUCCCAAAUUCAACCAACAAAAAGGUACACAGUGAGAUUUGCUUAACAAUUAUGUUUCUUUAAUUGAUUUUAAAAUUAGGAAAAGGUGGAAGGAAAAACUUCGUUCUCUGGUAGUGUUUUAGUUAAAAUCCUUUUUGUGCAAAUUGAUUUUUGAAAUUGUUUACCUCAUUUUCGAAUGGUUCCGUUCACAUUUGUUGUUCAUGUGAGAUUUUAUGUUUACCAGUUACUGCAUUAUAUUGACCACUAUUGCAAGAUGUUUGUUUAGGAAUAACUACUGUUUUGUUUAUCUGGAAUGUUGUGUGGGAGUCCAUCAGGAAUUGCUGGUCUGCAGUAAAUUUGUCAGGCUAGGUGAUGAAGAUCAAUGAAUCAGAAAAUGUUUUGCAUGGGUGGUGAAUGUUCUGACAGUUUUAACAGUUGUGAUGUGGUGUAUUUCACUUCCACGCAUCAUGGUGUUUUUAUCUAUCAGUUGAAUUGUAUGGUUAAUUUUCUGUUCGUGUAACCUCAUUUCCUCUUGAAUCAUAUAGUAGAAAUUGGUGACCUGAAACAAUGAACAUGGAAAAAUCACCUGUGCCAACGUUGACGAUGUUUGAUUGAUGAAGUGCUGGAAACUAAAAUUAAUUUUCUUUACAA